GGGACGAACGCUGGCGGCGUGCUUAACACAUGCAAGUCGAGCGGAAAGGCCCUUCGGGGUACUCGAGCGGCGAACGGGUGAGUAACACGUGAGCAACCUGCCCUUAGCUUCGGGAUAGCUCCGGGAAACCGGAAUUAAUACCGAAUAUGACUUUGGCUGACAUCAGCAGAAGUGGAAAGUUUUUCGGCUAGGGAUGGACUCGCGGCCUAUCAGCUAGUUGGUGAGGUAACGGCCCACCAAGGCGACGACGGGUA
Molecule: ribosomal RNA, 254 nt
Filed under: uncultured bacterium
Lineage: Bacteria
Description: partial small subunit ribosomal RNA
Rfam family: Bacterial small subunit ribosomal RNA
Source: RNAcentral